This is a long non-coding RNA of Haliotis rubra (blacklip abalone), 350 nucleotides long. RefSeq lists it as uncharacterized. The transcript has 4 exons. The record is from RefSeq and is a predicted model, not a curated record. NCBI's taxonomy places the organism in Eukaryota, Metazoa, Mollusca, Gastropoda, Lepetellida, Haliotidae.
AAAUUUGGUUGAUGCUGACAGAAUUCCUUCAGUGUUUCCGCUGACUAAAUUAUUUAUCACACACUGUGUCUGGCAACCUAAAAUUUUACCGGUCAUAAAUUAAAUUUGCCGGUUAUAUCCUAUUACCAUACUGUAAGUACUCAUUUUAAAGUUAUUUUUAGCCUGGGUAUUUCCCAAACAUAACAACUUUUGCAACCAUGAAAGCACAGCCAAGACUGAUUUCGCUUACCCAUGAUUUUUUUAUUUUAAUACAUAAUUAUUUACCAGACACAGUGUCCGGUUGGCUUUCAAUAUACCGGUCCCCAACAAAUUUUACCAGCGAUUUUCAGGUAUAUACCAGAGAAUGGAAA